GAGCGGAAAGGCCCUUCGGGGUACUCGAGCGGCGAACGGGUGAGUAACACGUGAGCAACCUGCCCCUAGCUCUGGGAUAGCUCCGGGAAACCGGGAUUAAUACCAGAUACGACCACUUUAGACAUCUGUUGUGGUGGAAAGGAUUCCGGCUAGGGAUGGGCUCGCGGCCUAUCAGCUUGUUGGUGGGGUAACGGCCUACCAAGGCGACGACGGGUAGCCGGCCUGAGAGGGCGACCGGCCACACUGGGACUGAGACACGGCCCAGACUCCUACGGGAGGCAGCAGUGGGGAAUAUUGCGCAAUGGGCGAAAGCCUGACGCAGCGACGCCGCGUGCGGGAUGAAGGCCUGCGGGUUGUAAA
This 360-nucleotide ribosomal RNA is filed under the name uncultured bacterium. Its description in RNAcentral is "bacterial SSU rRNA". It matches the Rfam family "Bacterial small subunit ribosomal RNA", at positions 64 to 429 of the family's 1533-position model. The record is from RNAcentral.